CGGGUUCCAGAGGCCCCUGAACAGGUUCACUCCUCCCCCACACUCUCGCAGGUUCUCGGCGCAGGGCAACCUCUCCUCACAGGUGCACGGAAAGAGAAACCGUCGCUGGGAAAGUUACCGUAGGGUCUCUUGGCGCGGAGGGAACCCGCCACACGUUGCCAAGGUGUCUUCUUGGACUUGGAGAAGGACACCUGAGGGACCGCUACGAGGCAGAGAGGUGGCAGCGCUGGAGCCAGGGAGGCUGCUGUCCUUGUCUCAGGGGAGCAGAGAGUCCCCACGCCUGACUGCUUUCAGCUGCUGCCCGCCCAGCGCGCUCGGCGAAGACUUGGAAAGAGAUUCCCACUGGGAUGCCCCGGCAGCUGCCACCAUUCGGAAGGAGGUGGGGGAGAACGUAUCGACGAGGAAAGGGAAAGAUUCCUUGCUUUGCAGCUGCCGUGCCACCAAACCUCUCCCACAUUCUAAGGAAGGGAGGAUUCCUGAGACAGCUGCUCCGAACAGCGUGGAGGCGGGGUUAACAUUGCCUGUAGAUCUCUGAGAGUUUUUUUCCUCUCGUGAUUUUCCAAUGUGAAAGUCAGGUUCGCCUCAUUCUCAGAUUAACUGAAAAGAUAAAUUAUAUUAGGAUUGUAACCAGCACAGAUCCUUAUAAUGUAUCCUUCUCCUCCACCCUCACUAUUAGCAGUAAAGCUUUCUUCCUGAUGCAUUAGUGAAAACAAACAAAUAUAGAAGAAAGUGGUUUUUCACCCUUAUGGUACUCUUUCAAGUCAUAAGGCCUUAAAAAAAAUUUUUCAUAUACUCGCAGUUCCCUAAAAUGAAAGUGAAGCAAAAAGUUGGGUCAAAAGUUAGGAAGUACCAUGGAGGAAUCAGAAGAAAAAAUUGUAUUGGUUUGAGAGAUGAAAUAGUUUCCUAGAGAACGGGUUAUUUGAGAUGGGCUUGAAAAGUAAACUGAACUUUAUCACAUGGAAAUUUGGGAGGAGGGAGGCAACAUGAGGAAAGAGAAGCACAGGAGUAUCUUCUUUAGAAAAGUGUUACAUCUUUUCAAAAUACUAAAAUGAAUUCAGCCGCACCAAAUCUCAUGUGGUUGCAGAUGUUUUUUAAAGAUUUGUUUUCUGUAAGUGGGCUUAAAUACUCCAAAGAUGAGACAGACAUUUUUCUCAUGAUCUGAAUUGGUGAUUCUUGCAUUACCAGGGUUGAGGCAAGCAGCAUCAUUGGCUUGCCAUUCCCUAAAUCCAAAAACUAUUUAAACACUUCAGGUUUAUAUUUCAGGUCAUUAAAUGAAUGUCUGCAAUAAGGGGAAGUAGG
This 1299-nucleotide long non-coding RNA is filed under the name Equus asinus (donkey). RNAcentral describes it as "lncRNA (ENSEASG00005000384.2)". Lineage: Eukaryota; Metazoa; Chordata; Mammalia; Perissodactyla; Equidae. The record is from RNAcentral.